AUGAGCUCACUGGUUCUACUGCUGGCCACCCUGGGGCUCCUGGUUCAGGGUUCAUCAGGACAAAUCACCCUGACUCAGUCUCCUGAAUCUCAGUCUGUUGUUCCAGGACAGACUGUCUCCAUCAGAUGUAAAACCAGUUCAGAUGUUAGUAGCUCACUCCACUGGUACCUUCAGAAACCUGGAGAAGCUCCUAAACUCCUGAUUUAUUAUGCUACAAGCCGUCAGUCUGGAGUUCCAGGUCGUUUCAGUGGAAGUGGAUAUGGGACUGACUUCACUCUGACCAUCAGUGGAGUUCAGGCUGAAGAUUCAGGAGUUUACUACUGUCAGCAGGGUUACAGCAGCCCGUUCACACAGUGAUACAACGUCGUACAAAAACCUCCCUCAGCUGGAGAGGAACUGAUCUGAAUCAACAGCUGCACUCAAACUAAAACUAAAGGCUUUACUAAAAAUAAGUAGUUAAUAAUAAUUCACUUUGAAUAUUUGAACAUUAAAUACACUGUACAUAACAAAAAGUUAUAUUUUUAAUGUAUUCACUCAAACAGGGUUUGAAACAUCUUGUUGCACAUUGAAGCAGCAGGAUGAUACUGAUGAAACUCUUGAACUAUGAUUUCACUUCUUUGAAAAGUUAAUUCGAUGCAGUGUGCUGACAAAUGAACACUAAGCUUGUUGACAUUAGUUUAAUGACUUACCGCCUGUUAUAGAAACUCAAACAUUCAUAAAUAAUAGCAUAAAUUUAUACCUCAACGAUAUUUCAAUUUUUUUUACAAAAAUACGAAUCAUCUCUCAAACAUGUUUUAUUCAUUUUAUUUUAGUUCAGCAAAAUUGUAUUUAAUGACUGAGACCAAUGAUUUAUGAAGUGUGGAAUUCAGUAACACUUUCAUCUUUUUCCAUCUUUCAUUUGUCUUUGUGUUUGUGGAUCUUCAGCAGAAGCAGGAUUGAAAGCAGGGGUCACCA
Molecule: non-coding RNA, 954 nt
Organism: Chelmon rostratus (copperband butterflyfish)
Lineage: Eukaryota; Metazoa; Chordata; Actinopteri; Chaetodontiformes; Chaetodontidae
Source: the annotation of a RefSeq genome assembly